Molecule: long non-coding RNA, 847 nt
Organism: Oreochromis aureus
Lineage: Eukaryota; Metazoa; Chordata; Actinopteri; Cichliformes; Cichlidae
Source: Ensembl
GUUUAUAGAAGGGCGACAGACAUAUUUUCAGGUUGACGGAUAGUUAGCUGGAGUGGAAAUCUGUUGUACCCUACUGUGAGUAGGAGGAGACGGACGUCUUGCUGGCGUGUCAGAGAGGUCCCUUCUGCUGGUCUUGCUGAAGUUAUGUGUUCACGUGGGAGCACGUGGCGAGGAUGACUGUGAGUGCUGCUGCCGCGGCCUGCUGGUAGCCUUGACCCAGUUCCCCCGCUAUCCCCUUGAACUGCCUGGAGGUAUCCACCCGGUUCUUAAAAGAUGGAUGCUGGUUGGUUGGAUCCAGCUGCUCAUCUCUGUACAAAAGCACAUAUUUAUCUCCCAGGUCACUGAUUGGUCAGAUGUUCAGGUUCAAGCUCAGCUGAACGCAGCAUGAAGGUGUCAGUCAGUAUUUAUUGAUUAUAUUUUAAAACAGAUCAUAUUUAAUUAAACAGAUUUAGAUUCAUGGCCUGUUUAUGGAGGUUUUAGACAUUUAACUUCCUCUUUUUAACAUCAGCAGCCCUCUGAUGAAACACCUGAAAGUUUUUUUUGUCUUUUCCCCCAGAAACAGGAAAUUAAGUUUCUGUUUAAACCACAAACAGCUCAGAGAAUAACGGUCACUAUGUGCAGCACAAAACUUUAAAGACAGUUACAGGUGACUGAAAUGAUGAACAUGUUAAAAUUUCAAGUUUUAAACUUUCAGCUGUGUUGAUAUAAUGAGUGAAUGAUUUGAUCUUUUCACUGCCUGCUGUGUUUCCUCGACUCCUGAGCAAAGAUAAAGAGUCAGUUCAGACCUGCAGUUGGUCCUCGUGGUGUUUUGAACUUGAAUUCAGCCUGAUUUGUUUUUCAUGUCUUC